This 24-nucleotide non-coding RNA is filed under the name Drosophila melanogaster (fruit fly). The record is from RNAcentral. Lineage: Eukaryota; Metazoa; Arthropoda; Insecta; Diptera; Drosophilidae. RNAcentral also lists the same sequence under 1 other name.
GUUCUGGGCCGCACGCGCGCUACA